Molecule: long non-coding RNA, 458 nt
Filed under: Pan troglodytes (chimpanzee)
Lineage: Eukaryota; Metazoa; Chordata; Mammalia; Primates; Hominidae
Description: lncRNA (ENSPTRG00000053143.1)
Source: RNAcentral
AUGAAGCAUAAACAAACUGACAAAUAUUGUUUAAAUUUAACACUAAAAUUCGAUGUGUAUGUCUCAGUUAUUGUUGUUGUCAUUCUUAUUUUCAGUCAGGGAGAUGGUUCCAGGAGAAGAAAAGAAAGUCAGUUGCUUUCUGAGAUCAGGUGGGAAGUUUAUCCUGUCAACUCCACCUUUAGAGUGCUAGUCUCUGGAGCCACAAGGACUGAAACUCUGCUUCAGAGACCCACCACUGAUGACAACCAUCAGGCUCAGGAACUGAAAAGAAAUGGUGCAAAUGUGGCCGAGGGACUUGGGUUUUACAUUUAUUGCCGAGUCUGGUUUUCUUGAGUUUCAGGGUAAAAAGCAAAAGGAACUCUGGCAACUGGUGAUCUAUAAACUUAGCAAGCCUCAGGACUUAGUCUAUCUCACACAUGGAAAAUAACUCCCGAGCUCUCCCUCGCCACCCCCACCUC